RNAcentral lists this ribosomal RNA (580 nucleotides) under Eurotiomycetes sp. genotype 819 JMUR-2016. RNAcentral describes it as "eukaryotic LSU rRNA". The stretch from base 212 to 365 matches the Rfam family "5.8S ribosomal RNA". Lineage: Eukaryota; Fungi; Ascomycota; Eurotiomycetes. The record is from RNAcentral.
CUUCCGUAGGUGAACCUGCGGAAGGAUCAUUACUGAGAUAGGGUUCUUCUGAGCCCGACCUCCAACCCUUUGUUUAAACUACCUUGUUGCUUUGGCAGGCCCGCCUUUGGGCCGCUGGAGGGGUUAAGUCACCUCUGGUCAGUGCUUGCCAGUAGCCAAUUUAAAUUCUUUUUAACUAUGUCGUCUGAAUAAUAAUUAUAAAUUUAAUUAAAACUUUCAACAACGGAUCUCUUGGUUCUGGCAUCGAUGAAGAACGCAGCGAAAUGCGAUAAGUAAUGUGAAUUGCAGAAUUCAGUGAAUCAUCGAAUCUUUGAACGCACAUUGCGCCCUUUGGUAUUCCGAAGGGCAUGCCUGUUCGAGCGUCAUUAUCAACCAUCAAGCCCGGCUUGUUAUUGGGUCUCUGUAUCGUUAAGAACGAUAGGCCCGAAAGAUAAUGGCGGCGUCAAGAUUGACCCCAGGUGCAGCGAGCUUUAAGCACACACCGAGGGCGUCUUCUUGGGCCUGGCCUAGUUAAAACAUUUUUCUAAGGUUGACCUCGGAUCAAGUAGGAAUACCCGCUGAACUUAAGCAUAUCAAUAAG